Molecule: non-coding RNA, 636 nt
Organism: Paramormyrops kingsleyae
Lineage: Eukaryota; Metazoa; Chordata; Actinopteri; Osteoglossiformes; Mormyridae
Source: RefSeq, a predicted model, not a curated record
AAAAACAUAUAGUAUUUUGAAUCCAUUUCCCAUGCCUCAAAACAGGAAAUUAAAUAUCGACCGAUUGCAGAGUGGAAAUUUAUUUUGACAUGGAAUGGAGAUUGACUAGGGGCGGCACGGUGGCGCAGUGAUUAGCAGCGUAGCUUCCACAAUUAUGGGACUCGUGGCUCCACGUGUGUGGACUUCGCAUGUUGUCCUCGUGUCAUUCUGUCCCGCAACCAUGAAUAGGACAAGCGGCUUCAGAAAACGCGUGGAGGAUCAUUGUGGGGGUAGCUGGAGGCCGACGUGGGACAGCACUGCAUUGGCCCAAGGCCCGGCUGUGAUCACCAAGCUCGCAGCUUUGUGGGCUCCACUGGCUGUUGUCACGGUGACCUCCGAGCCAGGCGUGAUGCCAGACACUUUCUCCCCAUCCUUGAUUACCCCGCCCAGCUUCUGGAAUGCCCCCUGGCAGCACGGAAAUCAGACAGAAGAAGACUCAAUGCAGCACACCUUGAGUGGACCAUCAAUACUUGAGGCUUUUUUUUUUUUUUGCGAUUUCAAGACGAAGUGGAUUAUUGCUUUUGACUUCAAACACAUAAGAGGUGUUAUGCCGCUGUAGGUUUGUGUCCAUGUGCAAUAAACCAUCUAAUGACCUGA